UCUGCGUGCUUUUAGCUAAAACA
This 23-nucleotide non-coding RNA is filed under the name Arabidopsis thaliana (thale cress). The record is from RNAcentral. Lineage: Eukaryota; Viridiplantae; Streptophyta; Magnoliopsida; Brassicales; Brassicaceae.